GAUGAACGCUGGCGGCGUGCCUAAUACAUGCAAGUCGAGCGAACAGACGAGGAGCUUGCUCCUCUGACGUUAGCGGCGGACGGGUGAGUAACACGUGAAUAACCUACCUAUAAGACUGGGAUAACUUCGGGAAACCGGAGCUAAUACCGGAUAAUAUAUUGAACCGCAUGGUUCAAUAGUGAAAGACGGUUUUGCUGUCACUUAUAGAUGGAUCCGCGCCGCAUUAGCUAGUUGGUAAGGUAACGGCUUACCAAGGCGACGAUGCGUAGCCGACCUGAGAGGGUGAUCGGCCACACUGGAACUGAGACACGGUCCAGACUCCUACGGGAGGCAGCAGUAGGGAAUCUUCCGCAAUGGGCGAAAGCCUGACGGAGCAACGCCGCGUGAGUGAUGAAGGUCUUCGGAUCGUAAAACUCUGUUAUUAGGGAAGAACAAAUGUGUAAGUAACUAUGCACGUCUUGACGGUACCUAAUCAGAAAGCCACGGCUAACUACGUG
This 497-nucleotide ribosomal RNA is filed under the name uncultured bacterium. RNAcentral describes it as "partial 16S ribosomal RNA". It matches the Rfam family "Bacterial small subunit ribosomal RNA", at positions 28 to 507 of the family's 1533-position model. The record is from RNAcentral.